Molecule: transfer RNA, 72 nt
Filed under: Phrynosoma platyrhinos (Desert horned lizard)
Lineage: Eukaryota; Metazoa; Chordata; Lepidosauria; Squamata; Phrynosomatidae
Description: tRNA-OTHER
Source: RNAcentral
GCCAGUGUGGCAUAGUGGUUUGAGCGUUUGACCAGGACUCUGGAGACCAGGGUUUGAUUCCCAGUUCUGCCA